GUGGGGAAUCUUCCACAAUGGACGAAAGUCUGAUGGAGCAACGCCGCGUGAGUGAAGAAGGGUUUCGGCUCGUAAAGCUCUGUUGUCGGGGACGAAUGUGCAGUAUUUGAAUAAAGUACUGCAAUGACGGUACCUGACGAGGAAGCCACGGCUAACUACGUGCCAGCAGCCGCGGUAAUACGUAGGUGGCAAGCGUUGUCCGGAAUUAGUGGGCGUAAAGGGAGCGCAGGCGGGAAGGUAAGUCGGUCUUAAAAGUGCGGGUCGCAACCCCGUGAUGGGAUCGAAACUAUCUUUCUUGAGUGCAGGAGAGGAAAGUGGAAUUCCUAGUGUAGCGGUGAAAUGCGUAGAUAUUAGGAGGAACACCAGUGGCGAAGGCGACUUUCUGGACUGUAACUGACGCUGAGGCUCGAAAGCCAGGGGAGCGAACGGGAUUAGAUACCCCAGUAGUCC
This 450-nucleotide ribosomal RNA is filed under the name uncultured bacterium. Its description in RNAcentral is "partial 16S ribosomal RNA". It matches the Rfam family "Bacterial small subunit ribosomal RNA", at positions 354 to 796 of the family's 1533-position model. The record is from RNAcentral.